UACGGAGGGAGCUAGCGUUGUUCGGAAUUACUGGGCGUAAAGCGCGCGUAGGCGGCUUUGUAAGUUAGAGGUGAAAGCCCGGAGCUCAACUCCGGAACUGCCUUUAAAACUGCAUCGCUUGAAUCCAGGAGAGGUGAGUGGAAUUCCGAGUGUAGAGGUGAAAUUCGUAGAUAUUCGGAAGAACACCAGUGGCGAAGGCGGCGAUCUGGGUAGAUACUGACGCUGAGGUGCGAAAGCGUGGGGAGCAAACAGG
This 253-nucleotide ribosomal RNA is filed under the name uncultured bacterium. RNAcentral's name for it is "partial 16S ribosomal RNA". It matches the Rfam family "Bacterial small subunit ribosomal RNA", at positions 524 to 776 of the family's 1533-position model. The record is from RNAcentral.